Molecule: ribosomal RNA, 575 nt
Filed under: Pestalotiopsis microspora
Lineage: Eukaryota; Fungi; Ascomycota; Sordariomycetes; Amphisphaeriales; Sporocadaceae
Description: eukaryotic LSU rRNA
Rfam family: 5.8S ribosomal RNA (bases 194-347)
Source: RNAcentral
AUGUAGCUGAGGACUAUCACUCAUCGGAGGAGCUAUUAAUAGCGUGGAGGAACGCUGCUCGGUGCACACGACCUUGGAACGGCCUACCCUGUAGCGCCUUACCCUGGAACGGCUUACCCUGUAGCGGCUGCCGGUGGACUACCAAACUCUUGUUAUUUUAUUGUAAUCUGAGCGUCUUAUUUUAAUAAGUCAAAACUUUCAACAACGGAUCUCUUGGUUCUGGCAUCGAUGAAGAACGCAGCGAAAUGCGAUAAGUAAUGUGAAUUGCAGAAUUCAGUGAAUCAUCGAAUCUUUGAACGCACAUUGCGCCCAUUAGUAUUCUAGUGGGCAUGCCUGUUCGAGCGUCAUUUCAACCCUUAAGCCUAGCUUAGUGUUGGGAGCCUACUGCUUUUACUAGCUGUAGCUCCUGAAAUACAACGGCGGAUCUGCGAUAUCCUCUGAGCGUAGUAAUUUUUAUCUCGCUUUUGACUGGAGUUGCAGCGUCUUUAGCCGCUAAAUCCCCCAAUUUUUAAUGGUUGACCUCGGAUCAGGUAGGAAUACCCGCUGAACUUAAGCAUAUCAAUAAGCGGAGGAAA